GAUGCCUUCCCGUUCCUCUACCGCCUCGUGGCCGAGUCCUCCUCUCCCCAACCGCUGAUCUCGCCGCUCCAGCGGCGUUAGCAGGAUGGUGUACACGGGCUUCACAAACAUGUGGCUGUCUAGGCUCCGGAUGUGGUCGACGCCGAUGAGGACUCGAACAAUCUGUAGAGCCGCAGUGCCGCACCAGGUAUAGCUACUCUCCCUCUUCAGUCAACAGCAAGACCAUUCUGUUUAUGGAGGUUGCAACUCACACAGAUUUGUGGGUUCGGAAAAAUAAUUCUGUUGCCGGCCAUGUUCUCCAUUAAUUCUCAUCCUUGUCGUCAAAAUUGUGUCUUCCAUGUUCUCCAUUGACGCAUGGAGAAACUGAGCUGUGUGAGAUGGGGUGCCGGGACAUUACUACUGAUUACUAACCAGGCAAUAAACUGGUAGAUGAUCAGGGAAAAGAACGGAGUCGUCGGAUGAGGAAGAAGACCCCAGACCCAGGAUGCUUUGUGAUUCAUGUUGACAUGUAGUAUUCCUUUGAUAGAGAAAAAAACGAGGCCUCAUCGAUUUUUCCCGGUUUGUGGAGGUGAUGGCACCAGUAUUUACCAGGGAUGUAUGGAGAUGUGUUGGCAUAUCAUCCAGUACAUAAAUUGAAUGAGUCGGUUUUCUGGGUCCAUUUCCUGGUACCUGAGAAUUUAGACUGCCUCUUUUCUUGUCUGUAAGCUGAUACUUCUUCACGUAGCUAGACUCUCCUCCCAACAUUUGCACUCACAUGUGAUUUUUUUUGUGUCUCCCCUCAAAUUUUAUCCAGGAAAUUUAGUAAUAGGGUCCUUGAUAUAGAUACAUCAAAGGAAGCACAGAAGGUAAAUGGUUUUACCUGUUGCUGGCAUCAGAGGAGCAGCUACAAAUGGCAACCAUAUGGAUUUGUUAUUGUCGAUUGAAAGCACACAGUAUGAUUUUGAAGAAGGAACUCAAUGGAGCAAAUGGAAGAAAGAAAGGAGCCAUAACGAGAUGUUGAGAACAAGACAUAGUCUUCGGAUUAACUAAUAUUUGAAAAUCAGCAUGCUUUUGAUGAUUGCCGUGGAUUAAACAAGUAUAUAUUUAUUUUGAUUAUUGAUAUAGCACAACUUAGUCGAGUGGACCGAACAACACUGGAUUCGAGAGGUCAUUUAAUAGGAAAAUUGGCACUACAAGUUUCUUCAGCAUUGAGCACAAUUCAUUACUUUCUA
Molecule: long non-coding RNA, 1211 nt
Organism: Aegilops tauschii subsp. strangulata
Lineage: Eukaryota; Viridiplantae; Streptophyta; Magnoliopsida; Poales; Poaceae
Source: RefSeq, a predicted model, not a curated record